UACGUAGGGUGCAAGCGUUAAUCGGAUUUACUGGGCGUAAAGCGUGCGCAGGCGGUCUCGCAAGUCAGGAGUGAAAUCCCCGGGCUUAACCUGGGAAUUGCGCUUGAAGCUAUGAGACUAGAGUACGGCAGAGGGGGGUGGAAUUCCACGUGUAGCAGUGAAAUGCGUAGGGAUGUGGAGGAACACCGAUGGCGAAGGCAGCCCCCUGGGCCAGUACUGACGCUCAUGCACGAAAGCGUGGGGAGCAAACAGG
Molecule: ribosomal RNA, 253 nt
Filed under: uncultured bacterium
Lineage: Bacteria
Description: partial 16S ribosomal RNA
Rfam family: Bacterial small subunit ribosomal RNA
Source: RNAcentral